Medicago truncatula (barrel medic) is the source of this 526-nucleotide long non-coding RNA. RefSeq lists it as uncharacterized. The record is from RefSeq and is a predicted model, not a curated record. The transcript is spliced from 3 exons. Lineage: Eukaryota; Viridiplantae; Streptophyta; Magnoliopsida; Fabales; Fabaceae.
AAACUUUGACUAACUUAUUCACAUCAGUGGUUAGAAGUUAGAACUACCUGAAGUCAAAACAAAUUUUCACCCUUAUCGUUUCCUCCAUCUGUAAAACGCAUCACACGUUGUAUCAUUUUCACUCAAUCAAAAAACGCUCGCUUUGCUGUUCAAUCGGAACACUCGCCGUCCAAGCCCUUGGCUGUUCAAUCGAAUCCUCUCAAUCGUAUGCUAGGUUCUCUGAGCUUGUCCUCUGAAUCAAUAAAUAUGACGGAGCUUCUACAGUGGAAUGAACUCUAUGGUGAAGGUGGCUCAGGAGUUAAGAAAGCACUAAGCUAUUUUAUAUAGAGGCUCAAGAAUAGAAUUGAAACGAAAUCAUCUUAUCUGCAGGUGCUAGAAGUACAAGUAAGUCAAUCUUAUCUGCAGAAGUGAUAAACCAUUUAUAUUAACAUUUUGGGUAUAGUUUAUUACAUUGUGUUAUUAUUAGUUAGAUACUUAUUAGUUAGAUACUUAUUUAUUUUUCCUUAUUUUAUAUAGAUGAGAAAGU